This 468-nucleotide ribosomal RNA is filed under the name uncultured bacterium. RNAcentral's name for it is "partial 16S ribosomal RNA". It matches the Rfam family "Bacterial small subunit ribosomal RNA", at positions 28 to 507 of the family's 1533-position model. The record is from RNAcentral.
GACGAACGCUGGCGGCGUGCUUAACACAUGCAAGUCGAACGGAAAGGCCCUGCUUUUGUGGUGUGCUCGAUUGGCGAACGGGUGAGUAACACGUGAGUAACCUGCCCUUGACUUUGGGAUAACUUCAGGAAACUGGGGCUAAUACCGUAUAGGAGCUCCUGCUGCAUGGUGGGGGUGGGAAAUUUUCGGCGGUUGGGGAUGGACUCGCGGCUUAUCAGCUUGUUGGUGGGGUAGUGGCUUACCAAGGCUUUGACGGGUAGCCGGCUUGAGAGGGUGACCGGCCACAUGGGGACUGCGAUACGGACCAGACUCGUACGGGGGGCAGCAGUGGCGAAUCUUGCACAGUGGGAGGAAGCGUGAUGAAACAACGCCGCGUGUGGGAUGCCGGCCUUCGGGUUGUAAAACGCUUUAGCCUGUGACGCAGCGUGAGUGACGGUAAUGGGUAAAGAAGCACCGGCUAACUACGUG